RNAcentral lists this ribosomal RNA (497 nucleotides) under uncultured bacterium. RNAcentral describes it as "partial 16S ribosomal RNA". It matches the Rfam family "Bacterial small subunit ribosomal RNA", at positions 28 to 507 of the family's 1533-position model. The record is from RNAcentral.
GAUGAACGCUGGCGGCGUGCCUAAUACAUGCAAGUCGAGCGAACAGACGAGGAGCUUGCUCCUCUGACGUUAGCGGCGGACGGGUGAGUAACACGUGGAUAACCUACCUAUAAGACUGGGAUAACUUCGGGAAACCGGAGCUAAUACCGGAUAAUAUAUUGAACCGCAUGGUUCAAUAGUGAAAGACGGUUUUGCUGUCACUUAUAGAUGGAUCCGCGCUGCAUUAGCUAGUUGGUAAGGUAACGGCUUACCAAGGCAACGAUGCGUAGCCGACCGGAGAGGGUGAUCGGCCACACUGGAACUGAGACACGGUCCAGACGCCUACGGGAGGCAGCAGUAGGGAAUCUUCCGCAAUGGGCGAAAGCCUGACGGAGCAACGCCGCGUGAGUGAUGAAGGUCUUCGGAUCGUAAAACUCGGUUAUUAGGGAAGAACAAAUGUGUAAGUAACUGUGCACGUCUUGACGGUACCUAAUCAGAAAGCAACGGCUAACUACGUG